GCAAGUCGAGCGCCCUCUUCGGAGGGAGCGGCGGACGGGUUAGUAACGCGUGGGAACGUACACUUUUCUACGGAAUAGCCAUUGGAAACGAUGAUUAAUAACGUAUACGCCCUUUGGGGAAAGAUUUAUCGGAGUAGGAUCGGCCCGCGUUAGAUUAGAUAGUUGGUGGGGUAAUGGCCUACCAAGUCUACGAUCUGUAGCUGGUUUGAGAGGAUGAUC
This 219-nucleotide ribosomal RNA is filed under the name uncultured bacterium. RNAcentral's name for it is "partial 16S ribosomal RNA". It matches the Rfam family "Bacterial small subunit ribosomal RNA", at positions 57 to 305 of the family's 1533-position model. The record is from RNAcentral.